RNAcentral lists this ribosomal RNA (878 nucleotides) under uncultured archaeon. RNAcentral describes it as "bacterial SSU rRNA". It matches the Rfam family "Archaeal small subunit ribosomal RNA", at positions 40 to 923 of the family's 1478-position model. The record is from RNAcentral.
UCGACUAAGCCAUGCGAGUCGAAUGUAGCAAUACAUGGCGUACUGCUCAGUAACACGUGGAUAACCUACCCUUGAGAUGGGAAUAAACCCGGGAAACUGGGUAUAAUACCCAAUAGAUCUCGACUGCUGGAAUGCAUCGAGCUCCAAAGCUCCGGCGCUCAAGGAUGGAUCUGCGGCCUAUCAGGUAGUAGUGGGUGUAGCGUACCUACUAGCCUACGACGGGUACGGGUUGUGAGAGCAAGAGCCCGGAGAUGGAUUCUGUGACACGAAUCCAGGCCCUACGGGGUGCAGCAGGCGCGAAAACUUUACAAUGCUGGAAACAGCGAUAAGGGGACCUCGAGUGCCAGGUUACAAAUCUGGCUGUCGUGAUGCCUAAAAAGCAUUGCAUAGCAAGGGCCGGGCAAGACCGGUGCCAGCCGCCGCGGUAACACCGGCGGCUCGAGUGGUAACCGUUAUUAUUGGGUCUAAAGGGUCUGUAGCCGGCCGGAUAAGUCUCUUGGGAAAUCUGGCAGCUUAACUGUCAGGCUUUCAGGAGAUACUGUCUGGCUCGAGGCCGGGAGAGGUGAGAGGUACUUCAGGGGUAGGGGUGAAAUCUUGUAAUCCUUGAAGGACCACCAGUGGCGAAGGCGUCUCACCAGAACGGACCUGACGGCAAGGGACGAAAGCUAGGGGCACGAACCGGAUUAGAUACCCGGGUAGUCCUAGCCGUAAACGAUACUCGCUAGGUGUCGGCAACGGUGCGACCGUUGUCGGUGCCGUAGGGAAGCCGUGAAGCGAGCCACCUGGGAAGUACGGCCGCAAGGCUGAAACUUAAAGGAAUUGGCGGGGGAGCACCACAACGGGUGGAGCUUGCGGUUUAAUUGGAGUCAACGCCGGAA